UACGUAGGGUGCAAGCGUUGUCCGGAAUUAUUGGGCGUAAAGGGCGUGUAGGCGGCCGGAUAAGUCGGAUGUGAAAUCCCUCGGCUCAACUGAGGAACUGCAUUCGAUACUGUCUGGCUAGAGUCCGGGAGAGGGUAGCGGAAUUCCCAGUGUAGCGGUGAAAUGCGUAGAUAUUGGGAAGAACACCGGUAGCGAAGGCGGCUACCUGGACCGGCACUGACGCUGAGGCGCGAAAGCCAGGGGAGCGAAUGGG
Molecule: ribosomal RNA, 253 nt
Filed under: uncultured bacterium
Lineage: Bacteria
Description: partial 16S ribosomal RNA
Rfam family: Bacterial small subunit ribosomal RNA
Source: RNAcentral